AGUGAACGCUGGCGGUAGGCCUAACACAUGCAAGUCGAACGGCAGCACAGCAAGAGCUUGCUCUUACGGGUGGCGAGUGGCGGUCGGGUGAGGAAUACAUCGGAAUCUACUUUUUCGUGGGGGAUAACGUAGGGAAACUUACGCUAAUACCGCAUACGACCUACGGGUGAAAGCAGGGGAUCUUCGGACCUUGCGCGAUUGAAUGAGCCGAUGUCGGAUUAGCUAGUUGGCGGGGUAAAGGCCCACCAAGGCGACGAUCCGUAGCUGGUCUGAGAGGAUGAUCAGCCACACUGGAACUGAGACACGGUCCAGACUCCUACGGGAGGCAGCAGUGGGGAAUAUUGGACAAUGGGCGCAAGCCUGAUCCAGCCAUACCGCGUGGGUGAAGAAGGCCUUCGGGUUGUAAAGCCCUUUUGUUGGGAAAGAAAAGCAGCAGGUUAAUACCCCGCUGUUCUGACGGUACCCAAAGAAUAAGCACCGGCUAACUUCGUG
This 492-nucleotide ribosomal RNA is filed under the name uncultured bacterium. Its description in RNAcentral is "partial 16S ribosomal RNA". It matches the Rfam family "Bacterial small subunit ribosomal RNA", at positions 29 to 507 of the family's 1533-position model. The record is from RNAcentral.